AUUGAACGCUGGCGGCAGGCCUAACACAUGCAAGUCGAGCGGAUGAAGGGAGCUUGCUCCUGGAUUCAGCGGCGGACGGGUGAGUAAUGCCUAGGAAUCUGCCUGGUAGUGGGGGAUAACGUCCGGAAACGGGCGCUAAUACCGCAUACGUCCUGAGGGAGAAAGUGGGGGAUCUUCGGACCUCACGCUAUCAGAUGAGCCUAGGUCGGAUUAGCUAGUUGGUGGGGUAAAGGCCUACCAAGGCGACGAUCCGUAACUGGUCUGAGAGGAUGAUCAGUCACACUGGAACUGAGACACGGUCCCGACUCCUACGGGAGGCAGCAGUGGGGAAUAUUGGACCAUGGGCGAAAGCCUGAUCCAGCCAUGCCGCGUGUGUGAAGAAGGUCUUCGGAUUGUAAAGCACUUUAAGUUGGGAGGAAGGGCAGUAAGUUAAUACCUUGCUGUUUUGACGUUACCAACAGAAUAAGCACCGGCUAACUUCGUG
Molecule: ribosomal RNA, 484 nt
Filed under: uncultured bacterium
Lineage: Bacteria
Description: partial 16S ribosomal RNA
Rfam family: Bacterial small subunit ribosomal RNA
Source: RNAcentral